AGCGAACGCUGGCGGCAGGCCUAACACAUGCAAGUCGAACGAACUCUUCGGAGUUAGUGGCGGACGGGUGAGUAACACGUGGGAACGUGCCUUUUGGUUCGGAAUAACUCAGGGAAACUUGUGCUAAUACCGAAUGCGCCCUUCGGGGGAAAGAUUUAUCGCCAUUAGAGCGGCCCGCGUCUGAUUAGCUAGUUGGUGAGGUAACUGCUCACCAAGGCGACGAUCAGUAGCUGGUCUGAGAGGAUGACCAGCCACACUGGGACUGAGACACGGCCCAGACUCCUACGGGAGGCAGCAGUGGGGAAUCUUGCGCAAUGGGCGAAAGCCUGACGCAGCCAUGCCGCGUGAAUGAUGAAGGUCUUAGGAUUGUAAAAUUCUUUCACCGGGGACGAUAAUGACGGUACCCGGAGAAGAAGCCCCGGCUAACUUCGUG
RNAcentral lists this ribosomal RNA (433 nucleotides) under uncultured bacterium. Its description in RNAcentral is "partial 16S ribosomal RNA". It matches the Rfam family "Bacterial small subunit ribosomal RNA", at positions 29 to 507 of the family's 1533-position model. The record is from RNAcentral.